GGGGAUGUAGCUCAGUGGUAGAGCGUUCGCUUUGCAUGCGAAAGGUCCAGGGUUCGAUCCCCUGCAUCUCCA
This 72-nucleotide transfer RNA is filed under the name Sarcoptes scabiei. Its description in RNAcentral is "tRNA-Ala for anticodon UGC". It matches the Rfam family "tRNA". From Rfam's summary of the family: Transfer RNA (tRNA) molecules are approximately 80 nucleotides in length. Their secondary structure includes four short double-helical elements and three loops (D, anti-codon, and T loops). The record is from Rfam by way of RNAcentral. Lineage: Eukaryota; Metazoa; Arthropoda; Arachnida; Sarcoptiformes; Sarcoptidae.